AACGAACGCUGGCGGCAGGCUUAACACAUGCAAGUCGAACGCAUGCCUUCGGGCAUGAGUGGCAGACGGGUGAGUAACGCGUGGAAACCUACCCCUUGGUACGGGAUAGCUCCGGGAAACUGGAGAUAAUACCGUAUGUGUCCUGAGGGACAAAGAUUCAUCGCCAAGGGAUGGGCCCGCGUCGGAUUAGCUAGUUGGUGGGGUAACGGCCUACCAAGGCGACGAUCCGUAGCUGGUCUAAGAGGAUGAUCAGCCACAUUGGGACUGAGACACGGCCCAAACUCCUACGGGAGGCAGCAGUGGGGAAUAUUGGACAAUGGGCGCAAGCCUGAUCCAGCCAUGCCGCGUGAGUGAUGAAGGCCCUAGGGUUGUAAAGCUCUUUCACCGGUGACGAUAAUGACGGUAACCGGAGAAGAAGCCCCGGCUAACUUCGUG
This 435-nucleotide ribosomal RNA is filed under the name uncultured bacterium. Its description in RNAcentral is "partial 16S ribosomal RNA". It matches the Rfam family "Bacterial small subunit ribosomal RNA", at positions 29 to 507 of the family's 1533-position model. The record is from RNAcentral.